GAUAAACGCUGGCGGCGUGCCUAAUACUUGCAAGUCGAGCGAACAGACGAGGAGCUUGCUCCUCUGAUGUUAGCGGCGGACGGGUGAGUAACACGUGGAUAACCUACCUAUAAGACUGGGAUAACUUCGGGAAACCGGAGCUAAUACCGGAUAACAUGUUGAACCGCAUGGUUCAACAGUGAAAGACGGUCUUGCUGUCACUUAUAGAUGGAUCCGCGCCGCAUUAGCUAGUUGGUAAGGUAACGGCUUACCAAGGCAACGAUGCGUAGCCGACCUGAGAGGGUGAUCGGCCACACUGGAACUGAGACACGGUCCAGACUCCUACGGGAGGCAGCAGUAGGGAAUCUUCCGCAAUGGGCGAAAGCCUGACGGAGCAACGCCGCGUGAGUGAAGAAGGUCUUCGGAUCGUAAAACUCUGUUAUUAGGGAAGAACAAAUGUGUAAGUAACUAUGCACGUCUUGACGGUACCUAAUCAGAAAGCCACGGCUAACUACGUG
Molecule: ribosomal RNA, 497 nt
Filed under: uncultured bacterium
Lineage: Bacteria
Description: partial 16S ribosomal RNA
Rfam family: Bacterial small subunit ribosomal RNA
Source: RNAcentral